AGAGUUUGAUCCUGGCUCAGGACGAACGCUGGCGGCGUGCUUAACACAUGCAAGUCGAGCGAGGCCCAUUCUUCGGGGUGGUGCCCUAGCGGCGAACGGGUGAGUAACACGUGGGCAACCUGCCCUCAGCUCUGGGAUAACUCCAAGAAAUUGGUGCUAAUACCGGAUGUGACCGCUGACCGCAUGGUCUGGUGGUGGAAAGAUUCAUCGGCUGAGGAUGGGCCCGCGGCCUAUCAGCUUGUUGGUGGGGUGAUGGCCCACCAAGGCGACGACGGGUAGCCGGCCUGAGAGGGUGACCGGCCACACUGGGACUGAGACACGGCCCAGACUCCUACGGGAGGCAGCAGUGGGGAAUAUUGCGCAAUGGGCGAAAGCCUGACGCAGCGACGCCGCGUGAGGGAUGACGGCCUUCGGGUUGUAAACCUCUUUCAGCAGGGACGAAGCGCAAGUGACGGUACCUGCAGAAGAAGCACCGGCCAACUACGUGCCAGCAGCCGCGGUAAUACGUAGGGUGCAAGCGUUGUCCGGAAUUAUUGGGCGUAAAGAGCUCGUAGGCGGUCUGUCACGUCGGCUGUGAAAACCCGAGGCUCAACCUCGGGCCUGCAGUCGAUACGGGCAAACUAGAGUGUUGCAGGGGAGACUGGAAUUCCUGGUGUAGCGGUGAAAUGCGCAGAUAUCAGGAGGAACACCGGUGGCGAAGGCGGGUCUCUGGGCAACAACUGACGCUGAGGAGCGAAAGCGUGGGGAGCGAACAGGAUUAGAUACCCUAGUAGUCC
RNAcentral lists this ribosomal RNA (776 nucleotides) under uncultured bacterium. RNAcentral's name for it is "bacterial SSU rRNA". It matches the Rfam family "Bacterial small subunit ribosomal RNA", at positions 8 to 796 of the family's 1533-position model. The record is from RNAcentral.